GCCGGGGUGGCUCAGGGGUUGAGUUUCUAGCUAUGAACUAGGAGGUCAGGGUUCAAUUCCCAGUCAAGGGCA
Molecule: non-coding RNA, 72 nt
Organism: Myotis lucifugus (little brown bat)
Lineage: Eukaryota; Metazoa; Chordata; Mammalia; Chiroptera; Vespertilionidae
Source: Rfam